UUAAGCGACUAAGCGUACACGGUGGAUGCCCUGGCAGUCAGAGGCGAUGAAGGACGUGCUAAUCUGCGAAAAGCGUCGGUAAGGUGAUAUGAACCGUUAUAACCGGCGAUGUCCGAAUGGGGAAACCCAGUGCAAUUCGUUGCACUAUCGUUAACUGAAUACAUAGGUUAACGAGGCGAACCGGGGGAACUGAAACAUCUAAGUACCCCGAGGAAAAGAAAUCAACCGAGAUUCCCCCAGUAGCGGCGAGCGAACGGGGAGCAGCCCAGAGUCUGAAUCAGCUUGUGUGUUAGUGGAACGGUCUGGAAAGUCCGACGGUACAGGGUGAUAGUCCCGUACACCAAAAUGCACAGGUUGUGAACUCGAAGAGUAGGGCGGGACACGUGGUAUCCUGUCUGAAUAUGGGGGGACCAUCCUCCAAGGCUAAAUACUCCUGACUGACCGAUAGUGAACCAGUACCGUGAGGGAAAGGCGAAAAGAACCCCGGCGAGGGGAGUGAAAAAGAACCUGAAACCGUGUACGUACAAGCAGUGGGAGCACCUUCGGGUGUGACUGCGUACCUUUUGUAUAAUGGGUCAGCGACUUAUAUUCUGUAGCAAGGUUAACCGUAUAGGGGAGCCGCAGGGAAACCGAGUCUUAACUGGGCGUUAAGUUGCAGGGUAUAGACCCGAAACCCGGUGAUCUAGCCAUGGGCAGGUUGAAGGUUGGGUAACACUAACUGGAGGACCGAACCGACUAAUGUUGAAAAAUUAGCGGAUGACUUGUGGCUGGGGGUGAAAGGCCAAUCAAACCGGGAGAUAGCUGGUUCUCCCCGAAAGCUAUUUAGGUAGCGCCUCGUGAACUCAUCUUCGGGGGUAGAGCACUGUUUCGGCUAGGGGGUCAUCCCGACUUACCAACCCGAUGCAAACUACGAAUACCGAAGAAUGUUAUCACGGGAGACACACGGCGGGUGCUAACGUCCGUCGUGAAGAGGGAAACAACCCAGACCGCCAGCUAAGGUCCCAAAGUCAUGGUUAAGUGGGAAACGAUGUGGGAAGGCACAGACAGCCAGGAUGUUGGCUUAGAAGCAGCCAUCAUUUAAAGAAAGCGUAAUAGCUCACUGGUCGAGUCGGCCUGCGCGGAAGAUGUAACGGGGCUAAACCAUGCACCGAAGCUGCGGCAGCGACACUAUGUGUUGUUGGGUAGGGGAGCGUUCUGUAAGCCUGCGAAGGUGUGCUGUGAGGCAUGCUGGAGGUAUCAGAAGUGCGAAUGCUGACAUAAGUAACGAUAAAGCGGGUGAAAAGCCCGCUCGCCGGAAGACCAAGGGUUCCUGUCCAACGUUAAUCGGGGCAGGGUGAGUCGACCCCUAAGGCGAGGCCGAAAGGCGUAGUCGAUGGGAAACAGGUUAAUAUUCCUGUACUUGGUGUUACUGCGAAGGGGGGACGGAGAAGGCUAUGUUAGCCGGGCGACGGUUGUCCCGGUUUAAGCAUGUAGGCUGAUUAUCCAGGCAAAUCCGGAUAAUCAAGGCUGAGGUGUGAUGACGAGGCACUACGGUGCUGAAGUAACAAAUGCCCUGCUUCCAGGAAAAGCCUCUAAGCAUCAGGUAACAUCAAAUCGUACCCCAAACCGACACAGGUGGUCAGGUAGAGAAUACCAAGGCGCUUGAGAGAACUCGGGUGAAGGAACUAGGCAAAAUGGUGCCGUAACUUCGGGAGAAGGCACGCUGGUGUGUAGGUGAAGUCCCUGCGGAUGGAGCUGAGACCAGUCGAAGAUACCAGCUGGCUGCAACUGUUUAUUAAAAACACAGCACUGUGCAAACACGAAAGUGGACGUAUACGGUGUGACGCCUGCCCGGUGCCGGAAGGUUAAUUGAUGGGGUUAUCCGUAAGGAGAAGCUCUUGAUCGAAGCCCCGGUAAACGGCGGCCGUAACUAUAACGGUCCUAAGGUAGCGAAAUUCCUUGUCGGGUAAGUUCCGACCUGCACGAAUGGCGUAAUGAUGGCCAGGCUGUCUCCACCCGAGACUCAGUGAAAUUGAACUCGCUGUGAAGAUGCAGUGUACCCGCGGCAAGACGGAAAGACCCCGUGAACCUUUACUAUAGCUUGACACUGAACAUUGAGCCUUGAUGUGUAGGAUAGGUGGGAGGCUUUGAAGCGUGGACGCCAGUCUGCGUGGAGCCAACCUUGAAAUACCACCCUUUAAUGUUUGAUGUUCUAACGUUGGCCCCUUAUCGGGGUUGCGGACAGUGUCUGGUGGGUAGUUUGACUGGGGCGGUCUCCUCCCAAAGCGUAACGGAGGAGCACGAAGGUUAGCUAAUCCUGGUCGGACAUCAGGAGGUUAGUGCAAUGGCAUAAGCUAGCUUGACUGCGAGCGUGACGGCGCGAGCAGGUGCGAAAGCAGGUCAUAGUGAUCCGGUGGUUCUGAAUGGAAGGGCCAUCGCUCAACGGAUAAAAGGUACUCCGGGGAUAACAGGCUGAUACCGCCCAAGAGUUCAUAUCGACGGCGGUGUUUGGCACCUCGAUGUCGGCUCAUCACAUCCUGGGGCUGAAGUAGGUCCCAAGGGUAUGGCUGUUCGCCAUUUAAAGUGGUACGCGAGCUGGGUUUAGAACGUCGUGAGACAGUUCGGUCCCUAUCUGCCGUGGGCGCUGGAGAAUUGAGGGGGGCUGCUCCUAGUACGAGAGGACCGGAGUGGACGCAUCACUGGUGUUCGGGUUGUCAUGCCAAUGGCACUGCCCGGUAGCUAAAUGCGGAAGAGAUAAGUGCUGAAAGCAUCUAAGCACGAAACUUGCCCCGAGAUGAGUUCUCCCUGAGACU
Molecule: ribosomal RNA, 2792 nt
Filed under: Klebsiella pneumoniae
Lineage: Bacteria; Pseudomonadati; Pseudomonadota; Gammaproteobacteria; Enterobacterales; Enterobacteriaceae
Description: bacterial LSU rRNA
Rfam family: Bacterial large subunit ribosomal RNA
Source: RNAcentral